UGCGUAGGCGGAUAGGUAAGUCAGGGGUGAAAUCUUCGAGCUUAACUCGGAAACUGCCUUUGAUACUAUCUAUCUUGAAUAUUGUGGAGGUAAGCGGAAUAUGUCAUGUAGCGGUGAAAUGCUUAGAUAUGACAUAGAACACCUAUUGCGAAGGCAGCUUACUACGCAUAUAUUGACGCUGAGGCACGAAAGCGUGGGGAUCAAACA
This 207-nucleotide ribosomal RNA is filed under the name uncultured bacterium. Its description in RNAcentral is "partial 16S ribosomal RNA". It matches the Rfam family "Bacterial small subunit ribosomal RNA", at positions 568 to 774 of the family's 1533-position model. The record is from RNAcentral.